UAAUACCAGCACCCCGAGUGGUCGGGACGUUUAUUGGGCCUAAAGCAUCCGUAGCCGGUUCUACAAGUCUUCCGUUAAAUCCACCUGCUUAACAGAUGGGCUGCGGAAGGUACUAUAGAGCUAGGAGGCGGGAGAGGCAAGCGGUACUCGAUGGGUAGGGGUAAAAUCCGUUGAUCCAUUGAAGACCACCAGUGGCGAAGGCGG
This 204-nucleotide ribosomal RNA is filed under the name uncultured bacterium. RNAcentral describes it as "partial 16S ribosomal RNA". It matches the Rfam family "Archaeal small subunit ribosomal RNA", at positions 471 to 675 of the family's 1478-position model. The record is from RNAcentral.